GUCCCUGUAGUGCAAUGGAUAGCUCGUUGGACUUCUAAUCCAAAGGUCGUGGAUUCGAAUUCUCCUGGGAUG
Molecule: transfer RNA, 72 nt
Filed under: Trichonephila clavata
Lineage: Eukaryota; Metazoa; Arthropoda; Arachnida; Araneae; Nephilidae
Rfam family: tRNA
About the family: Transfer RNA (tRNA) molecules are approximately 80 nucleotides in length. Their secondary structure includes four short double-helical elements and three loops (D, anti-codon, and T loops). Further hydrogen bonds mediate the characteristic L-shaped molecular structure. tRNAs have two regions of fundamental functional importance: the anti-codon, which is responsible for specific mRNA codon recognition, and the 3' end, to which the tRNAs corresponding amino acid is attached (by aminoacyl-tRNA synthetases). tRNAs cope with the degeneracy of the genetic code in two manners: having more than one tRNA (with a specific anti-codon) for a particular amino acid; and 'wobble' base-pairing, i.e. permitting non-standard base-pairing at the 3rd anti-codon position.
Source: Rfam by way of RNAcentral